This 253-nucleotide ribosomal RNA is filed under the name uncultured bacterium. RNAcentral describes it as "partial 16S ribosomal RNA". It matches the Rfam family "Bacterial small subunit ribosomal RNA", at positions 524 to 776 of the family's 1533-position model. The record is from RNAcentral.
UACGUAGGGGGCUAGCGUUGUCCGGAAUCAUUGGGCGUAAAGAGCGUGUAGGCGGCCCGGUAAGUCCGCUGUAAAAGUCAAAGGCUCAACCUUUGAAUGUCAGUGGAUACUGCCGGGCUAGAGUCCGGAAGAGGCGAGUGGAACUCCUGGUGUAGCGGUGGAAUGCGCAGAUAUCAGGAAGAACACCGGUGGCGAAGGUGGAUCUCUGGGCCUUACCUGACGCUCAGGCGCGAAAGCUAGGGGAGCGAACAGG